AUUGAACGCUGGCGGCAUGCCUUACACAUGCAAGUCGAACGGCAGCGGACCUUCGGGUGCCGGCGAGUGGCGAACGGGUGAGUAAUAUAUCGGAACGUACCUUUCAGUGGGGGAUAACGUAGCGAAAGUUACGCUAAUACCGCAUAUUCUGUGAGCAGGAAAGCAGGGGAUCGCAAGACCUUGCGCUGAUUGAGCGGCCGAUAUCAGAUUAGCUAGUUGGUGAGGUAAAGGCUCACCAAGGCGACGAUCUGUAGCGGGUCUGGGAGGAUGAUCCGCCACACUGGAACUGAGACACGGUCCAGACUCCUACGGGAGGCAGCAGUGGGGAAGUUUGGACAAUGGGCGCAAGCCUGAUCCAGCAAUGCCGCGUGCAGGAUGAAGGCCU
This 385-nucleotide ribosomal RNA is filed under the name uncultured bacterium. RNAcentral describes it as "bacterial SSU rRNA". It matches the Rfam family "Bacterial small subunit ribosomal RNA", at positions 30 to 417 of the family's 1533-position model. The record is from RNAcentral.